CAGUGGGGAAUAUUGCACAAUGGGCGCAAGCCUGAUGCAGCAACGCCGCGUGAGUGAUGAAGGCCUUCGGGUCGUAAAGCUCUGUCCUCAAGGAAGAAUAAAUGACGGUACUUGAGGAGGAAGCCCCGGCUAACUACGUGCCAGCAGCCGCGGUAAUACGUAGGGGGCAAGCGUUAUCCGGAAUCACUGGGCGUAAAGGGUGCGUAGGCGGUUUUUCAAGUCAGAAGUGAAAGGCUAUGGCUCAACCAUAGUAAGCUUUUGAAACUGUUAAACUUGAGUGCAGGAGAGGGAAAGUGGAAUUCCUAGUGUAGAGGUGAAAAUUCGUAGAUAUUAGGAGGAACACCAGUGGCGAAGGCGACUUUCUGGACCUGUAACUGACGCUGAGGCACGAAAGCGUGGGGAGCGAACGAGGAUUAAGAUACCCUGGUAGC
Molecule: ribosomal RNA, 431 nt
Filed under: uncultured bacterium
Lineage: Bacteria
Description: bacterial SSU rRNA
Rfam family: Bacterial small subunit ribosomal RNA
Source: RNAcentral